AUACGUGGGGGGCAAGCGUUAAUCGGCAUUACUGGGCGUAAAGCGUGCGCAGGCGGUUUUGUAAGUCAGAGGUGAAAUCCCCGGGCUCAACCUGGGAACUGCCUUUGUGACUUCAAAGCUAGCGUCCCGCAGACGGGGAUGGAAGUCCCCGGGUAGCAGUGAAAAGCGUAGAUAUGCGGAGGAACACCGAUGGCGAAGGCAAUCCCCUGGGCCUGUACUGACGCUCAUGCACGAAAGCGUGAGGAGCAAACAGGAUUAGAUACCCUGGUAGUCCACGCCCUAAACGAUGUCAACUGGUUGUUGGGUCUUCAUUGACUCAGUAACGAAGCUAACGCGUGAAGUUGACCGCCUGGGGAGUACGGCCGCAAGGUUGAAACUCAAAGGAAUUGGCGGGG
This 395-nucleotide ribosomal RNA is filed under the name uncultured bacterium. RNAcentral describes it as "partial 16S ribosomal RNA". It matches the Rfam family "Bacterial small subunit ribosomal RNA", at positions 523 to 918 of the family's 1533-position model. The record is from RNAcentral.